GGGCAUGGCGGGCGUCUAUAAUGCAGUCGAACGAACUCUGGUAUUGAUUGGUGCUUGCAUCAUGAUUUACAUUUGAGUGAGUGGCGAACUGGUGAGUAACACGUGGGAAACCUGCCCAGAAGCGGGGGAUAACACCUGGAAACAGAUGCUAAUACCGCAUAACAACUUGGACCGCAUGGUCCAAGUUUGAAAGAUGGCUUCGGCUAUCACUUUUGGAUGGUCCCGCGGCGUAUUAGCUAGAUGGUGGGGUAACGGCUCACCAUGGCAAUGAUACGUAGCCGACCUGAGAGGGUAAUCGGCCACAUUGGGACUGAGACACGGCCCAAACUCCUACGGGAGGCAGCAGUAGGGAAUCUUCCACAAUGGACGAAAGUCUGAUGGAGCAACGCCGCGUGAGUGAAGAAGGGUUUCGGCUCGUAAAACUCUGUUGUUAAAGAAGAACAUAUCUGAGAGUAACUGUUCAGGUAUUGACGGUAUUUAACCAGAAAGCCACGGCUAACUACGUGCCAGCAGCCGCGGUAAUACGUAGGUGGCAAGCGUUGUCCGGAUUUAUUGGGCGUAAAGCGAGCGCAGGCGGUUUUUUAAGUCUGAUGUGAAAGCCUUCGGCUCAACCGAAGAAGUGCAUCGGAAACUGGGAAACUUGAGUGCAGAAGAGGACAGUGGAACUCCAUGUGUAGCGGUGAAAUGCGUAGAUAUAUGGAAGAACACCAGUGGCGAAGGCGGCUGUCUGGUCUGUAACUGACGCUGAGGCUCGAAAGUAUGGGUAGCAAACAGGAUUAGAUACCCUGGUAGUCCAUACCGUAAACGAUGAAUGCUAAGUGUUGGAGGGUUUCCGCCCUUCAGUGCUGCAGCUAACGCAUUAAGCAUUCCGCCUGGGGAGUACGCCGCAAAGCUGAAACUCAAAGGAAUUGACGGGGCCCGCACAAGCGGUGGAGCAUGUGGUUUAAUUCGAAGCUACGCGAAGAACCUUACCAGUCUUGACAUACUAUGCAAAUCUAAGAGAUUAGACGUUCCCUUCGGGACAUGGAUACAGGUGGUGCAUGGUUGU
RNAcentral lists this ribosomal RNA (1048 nucleotides) under Lactiplantibacillus sp. Its description in RNAcentral is "bacterial SSU rRNA". It matches the Rfam family "Bacterial small subunit ribosomal RNA", at positions 35 to 1052 of the family's 1533-position model. Lineage: Bacteria; Bacillati; Bacillota; Bacilli; Lactobacillales; Lactobacillaceae. The record is from RNAcentral.